UAAUAGCGUAUAUUUAAGUUGUUGCAGUUAAAAAGCUCGUAGUUGGAUUUCGGAUGUGAACGACCGGUCCGCCGUUGCGGUGUGCACUGGACGUUUGUAUCUUGUUGUCGGGACGCGCUCCUCGACCUUAACCGGGAGGGACGCGGAGUCGGCGCUGGUUGACUUUGAAAAAUUAAGAGUGUUCAAAGCAGGCAAACCGCUCUGAAUACAUUAGCAUGGAAUAACGCUAUAUGACUAUGGUCCUAUUGUGUUGGUCUUCGGGACCGGAGUAAUGAUUAAGAGGGACAGUUAAGGGGCAUUCGUAUUUCAUUGUCAGAGGUGAAAUUCUUUGGAUU
Molecule: ribosomal RNA, 335 nt
Filed under: uncultured eukaryote
Lineage: Eukaryota
Description: SSU rRNA
Rfam family: Eukaryotic small subunit ribosomal RNA
Source: RNAcentral